RNAcentral lists this ribosomal RNA (253 nucleotides) under uncultured bacterium. Its description in RNAcentral is "partial 16S ribosomal RNA". It matches the Rfam family "Bacterial small subunit ribosomal RNA", at positions 524 to 776 of the family's 1533-position model. The record is from RNAcentral.
UACGAAGGGGGCUAGCGUUGCUCGGAAUCACUGGGCGUAAAGCGCACGUAGGCGGGUCUUUAAGUCAGGGGUGAAAUCCCGGAGCUCAACUCCGGAACUGCCUUUGAUACUGGAGAUCUUGAGUCCGGGAGAGGUGAGUGGAACUCCGAGUGUAGAGGUGAAAUUCGUAGAUAUUCGGAAGAACACCAGUGGCGAAGGCGGCUCACUGGCCCGGUACUGACGCUGAGGUGCGAAAGCGUGGGGAGCGAACAGG